CGGUGGAUUCCAUAAGCCGUUGAAGUUUGUCGAUUGUGGAGAGAGGCCAGGGGCUUCCGACGGGCUGUUGUUUUAGUUGGGUUUGAAAUAUGUUGGCUUGUGACGAAACCAAGGAUGGCAUCGCAAGAACCAGGAAACAGGACAAUAUGAAAGCAUCAACAUCAAAGUCGUUUUUGUUGCAGAACCUAGGACAAUAUGAAAGCAUCAAAAUGGAUGUCGUUUCUUGAUUUGAACAUGUUUCAUGGAGGUCUUUAUAAAAUGGCGUUAUGAGUAAUACUUUUGAGUACUAUUCUCAUGUGACAAGUUUAUAUGUACCUUUUGGAUUAUGGUGUAACUAUUAGUUUGCUAGAAACAUUUGAUUUAUUUUGAUAUGACAAGCUUAUGUAAUGAACCUUUUAAUUAAGGUGUUUGGAUAUUUUGAGAUUAUGAAAA
Camellia sinensis is the source of this 432-nucleotide non-coding RNA. NCBI's taxonomy places the organism in Eukaryota, Viridiplantae, Streptophyta, Magnoliopsida, Ericales, Theaceae. The record is from RefSeq and is a predicted model, not a curated record.